This 252-nucleotide unclassified non-coding RNA is filed under the name Hevea brasiliensis (rubber tree). Lineage: Eukaryota; Viridiplantae; Streptophyta; Magnoliopsida; Malpighiales; Euphorbiaceae. The record is from RNAcentral.
UUAUUUAUUUAUUUAUUUUUACUGUAAAAGACAUAGAAGGGGAAAAAAAAAGAAAGAUUAAUCCAUGGAAUCUUAAUUUUGAGAUGAAGAGGUGUGAACCAAUUCAUCUGACAUUUCUUUCUAGUGGAGAAAGCAGAUUUAUUUAGCUCUACUUAAGCAUCUUUUUAUGGCUUGAAAUUAAGAAGUACAUUGAAUUCUGUAUGCAUCUAUAUUUGAAGUUCUAUUUUAUUUCUGAGAAAAUCGAUUAUUCAG